AGCUCCAAUAGCGUAUAUUAAAGUUGUUGCGGUUAAAAAGCUCGUAGUUGGAUUUCUGUCGGUGAGUUGCAGUCCGGCCUCUGUGUUAGGUACUUGUUACGCCACCGGCAUCUUCCUGGGGACUGUAUCUGCUCUUCACUGAGUGGUGCAUAAUCCAGGACUUUUACUUUGAGGAAAUAGGAGUGUUUCAAGCAGGCAUGCGCCGUGAACACGUUAGCAUGGAAUAAUAGCAUCGGACCUCGCUCCAAAGCUGUUGGUUUCUUGGAACGAGGUAAAGGUGAAUAGGGAUUGUUGGGGGCAUUCGUAUUUAACUGUCAGAGGUGAAAUUCUUGGAUUUGUUGAAGACGGACUACUGCGAAAGCAUCUGCCAAAGAUGUUCUCA
This 382-nucleotide ribosomal RNA is filed under the name uncultured eukaryote. Its description in RNAcentral is "SSU rRNA". It matches the Rfam family "Eukaryotic small subunit ribosomal RNA", at positions 587 to 972 of the family's 1831-position model. The record is from RNAcentral.